UACCAGCACCCCGAGUGGUCGGGACGAUUAUUGGGCCUAAAGCGUCCGUAGCCGGUCAUGCAAGUCCUCCGUGAAAUCCGCCUGCUUAACAGAUGGGCUGCGGAGGAUACUACAAGGCUAGGAGGCGGAAGAGGCAAGCGGUACUUAGUGGGUAGGGGUAAAAUCCUCUGAUCCAUUGAAGACCACCAGUGGCGAAGGCGGCUUGCCAAUACGCGCUCGACGGUGAGGGAUGAAAGCUGGGGGAGCAAACCGG
This 253-nucleotide ribosomal RNA is filed under the name uncultured bacterium. Its description in RNAcentral is "partial 16S ribosomal RNA". It matches the Rfam family "Archaeal small subunit ribosomal RNA", at positions 474 to 727 of the family's 1478-position model. The record is from RNAcentral.